GGGAGUUUAGCUCGCUGGGGAGCAUCUGCCUUACAAGCAGAGGGUCGCGGUUCGAUCCCCGUUAACUCCCA
This 71-nucleotide transfer RNA is filed under the name Lactococcus cremoris. Its description in RNAcentral is "Lactococcus lactis subsp. cremoris tRNA-Val". It matches the Rfam family "tRNA". Rfam says of the family: Transfer RNA (tRNA) molecules are approximately 80 nucleotides in length. The record is from RNAcentral. Lineage: Bacteria; Bacillati; Bacillota; Bacilli; Lactobacillales; Streptococcaceae.